GAGAGAGACAGAGGCAGAGAGAUAGAAAUGAGCAGAGACAGAAAAAUAGAAGGGAUCAGGGAGAGAGGGAGAGGGAGAAGGAGUUUUGAUUAUUUGAACAAUGAGCAUAUAUAUUUGCUAGGGCUUCUCCAAGUAUCACAAGGAAACAAAGCAGUGUAGAUAGCGACUGGCUGGGUAAGUCAGGCAAUACAUUAUCCCGGGGACUGAAAAGAAGCCAUUCCCCAGAGAGGAAGAACUGCAGGAGAGGCAGAAGAAAAAGUCUCCCCCUCCCAAGGGAGAGGAAUAAAGGUGACUGACAGUCACUACCCAAGGAGCAGGAAGCACAGUCACGCUGCGUAGCUUCUCCCUGUCCUCCCAAGUCUGCAAAUUCGCUGAGACUAGAGACUGUUAUUUCUCUUCUCUGCGCUUGUCUAGCCCAGAGUAGACUGGUGAGGCGUAUGGGCUGAAGACUGAUGCCGACUGAAUGCUGAUGCAAGGGAGGCCCCCCACCCCCUGCCCCCAACGCGUGGUCACAGUGGCCACCUUGUGGCCUUGACACUAAACUGCAGCGGCUUUGCUGAGAACAAUGGGGGGUGCGGGGAGGUUUUUGAUUCCGUGGGAAAAGUUCGUGUCGUUUGCCAGUGGAGAGCACCCAAACUAAAGUUGCAUAAAGCCAAAUCCUGGCUUUGGCUUGUGAUUCAGUCACUUUCCUGGCCUUUUCCUAUGUGGCUGUGGAGCAGGGAGGAGAGAAACAUGAAGAAAUAUGAAAAAACCAAGACCGAAGAGAUCCUUUUCUGUCUGUUAUUGUGAGCAAGGAGCGAUCCAAUCACCUGACUUUAACUUUUCCUUUGGCUUUCUACUCCCAGCAUUCACAACUGAUACCCAUCAAUUAUUCCUUAAGUAUCCCUUAAGCACAUAAUUUGGGCUAUCUUUCUGUCAGUGUCCAGCAGCAACUCAGGGAAGGGAAGAUCCCUCUCCUUAUUGCUCACCUUCCAUCUGAGUGAGCAAAGUAUUGUUCAAAUAAUCAUAGAAUUUAGAAUUAAUGGAAACCAAACUAAGAAAUUUGAGUCAUCCCAUGGCACAUAAAGCAGUCUUAAACCCUAGUUCUCUAAUAAUCUUUCUAUUGAUCUGUCUUGCCUCUUCAAAAAUCAAAUAUACCAUUGUGGGGAUCAUGGAAGCCUGUCAUUGGAUAGAAAAACAAGAAACAGAGAAUUCCAUUUCUUUGGUAAUUGGUGUUCUCUCCUUGAUCCUCAGGAGUGGUUAAAAAUAGCUGGAGGUGACUCUGUGAACUAAACUAGCAGUGUACCUGGAAGUGUGACUUUUCUUAUUUAAUCCUUUUCAUCCUGUUUUCACCACUGACUUGCCAAAAGACUUUGGAUGAGUUAUUAUUCUCUGUUAGUGUCAGUGACCUGAGACAUAAAAUAGGUUACUGUUUUAUCCUUGCCAAUCUACCUUAACAAGGGAUAUUAAGGAACAGUAAGCAGGAGGAAUUUGAUAGUACUCUGCAAAUACAAGAACUAAAAUCAAAACCUGGAUAUUACUUUGUGGUUUUGGAAAACCUAAAAGGGUAAUAUAAAUAUCCUGAAUAUGUGUGUGUGUGUGUGUGUGUACGUGUUCUAGCAUUAGAUAAAUCUGAUGAAUUUGCUUGCUCAAAACAGUAAUUCCGAUGUUAUUUUAUCUUUAUGGUUAUGCCCAAUUCUUCAUGAUCCCAUUGGGACAUUUCCUUAACUGUAUGAUCCUAAGCAAAUCAUUUAAUCCUGUUUGCCUCAGUUUCCUCAUCUGUAAAAUGAGCUUGAGAAGAAAAUGGCAAACCACCCUAAGUAUCUUUGCCAAGAAAAUCUCAGAUGGAGUCAUAAAUAGUCAGGGAUGACUGAAACAAACACAGCCUUUCUCCACAGCUUUGGAACCAAAGCUGUUCUCUUGGCCAAAAUUAGGUUGAGGAUGGAGCAUUUGCUGAUGCUGAGAAGAAUAGCUUUCAGGCCGCUAACAGCCAGCAUGACUAGGCUCAGUCCCUUGGGAAUUUUAAUGUUGUAUCUUUUAUUUUCAAUUCCAUUCAGUAAAUGUACUCUAAUAUAACAUGUGAGUGUAAUCACAGAAUCGCAGGC
Sarcophilus harrisii (Tasmanian devil) is the source of this 2084-nucleotide long non-coding RNA. The record is from Ensembl. NCBI's taxonomy places the organism in Eukaryota, Metazoa, Chordata, Mammalia, Dasyuromorphia, Dasyuridae.